UAGUUGAUGCAUUGUUAGAAGCCAAAACAUGGAGCUAUAGAAUUUGGAAUAGAUUUUGUUUGUUUUCUACCCCAAGGUAGAAUGAGGGGCAAUGGGAUAAGGACCUUUGAGAUUGUAUGAGGAAAGUUAGGUGAGAUAUGCAGCCAAAGUAGGUAGUAACCUGAAGGUGUGCAACGAUAACUCAAAUUGUCUCAUUAGACAAAGAAAUGAAGUCAGUAGGUAGUAAGUUAAAUAAAACUCAACCUAAUAGAUUCAAUUAUGCAUGAUGAGAGAUAAGAAUAAUGGAUAAUAACACAAAGAUUUGAUGUUAGAAUUCAGAAUGGUGAGACAUAGUUAUAGAAUCUGUAAUCAGAGGUUAGGCAGAUGUUUUCAAUGUGACCAACCGGAUAAUUUUGUAAGGAAACAUGAGUGACAGUUUGAUAAUAGGUAACAGAACAAUAGUAGAGGACAGGACAGGUAUAGAUGUUACUUACAAGUUACUAAGAAGUACAAAGAUCAAUGUGAUGAAUGUAGGUAAGGCUAGAGAUAGUUCUGGAAGGAUGUGAUAGUGAGAGGUAUCUUCCAGAAUAUUGCAAAAGACAGGAAUACAGGAUAAUGAUGCUAGGUAUGAAAUACAAAUGGAGUGUAAAUAGAUAUAAUAAAUUAUGAGAUUAUAUGCCAGACAGAGCAGUGAUACAAUAAGGAGUUAGUGCAGUGAAAUCCUGUAGAUAGAGCACAAUAAUUGUGAAGAGAUAAUGAAAAUUAAAGAGGAUGAUCAAGAGAUAUGGGUAAAUUAUG
Molecule: unclassified non-coding RNA, 777 nt
Filed under: Hevea brasiliensis (rubber tree)
Lineage: Eukaryota; Viridiplantae; Streptophyta; Magnoliopsida; Malpighiales; Euphorbiaceae
Source: RNAcentral